RNAcentral lists this long non-coding RNA (18592 nucleotides) under Vitis vinifera (wine grape). RNAcentral's name for it is "long non-coding RNA (VVIN_LNC005550)". The record is from RNAcentral. Lineage: Eukaryota; Viridiplantae; Streptophyta; Magnoliopsida; Vitales; Vitaceae.
UCCUAUUCCACGUUGGCAGUCAACCAAAACACUUUGGAAUUUUUUUUUUUUCACAUACAUCCCACUAGAAUUCCCAUAAACUACAAUAUCCCAAAACUACUCAAAACAACAAGGUUUAAUAAAUAUUCAUUAUAGUCCAAAAAUAAAAGUUCACAAGUAAACAACUUAAUCAAAAUAAGGUUUCAUAACAAAUCCAUAAGUCAUAAUUACUAAAACAAAUCUCAAAAACACAAUAAAAGAAUAUGUCAUGCUCCAUUAGGCCGCUCCAAGAGCAUCCUGAAGUCCUCCCUGCCCCACCUACGGAUCCUCAGGAGUGAUAUCUGCAUCUAAAAAGGUGUAAAAAAAAAAGGGUGAGCAUUUCCACAUUGCUCAGUAGGAUGCCUAACACCCAAGGGGUUACGGGGAUUACUAAGUUCUAAAGAAUACGAAAAGAACACUUUAACACAAUAGAAACAAUUCAACAUUAUCAAUCAAACCACAUAGUUUAAUAUCUAAUAUUAUACACAAUUUCACAACAUUCAACAAUUACAUGAAUGCACAUGAACAUCUGACACACAGUCAUACAAUGCAUUAUUGUUCUCGGGCUUUCACCGAAGGAUACAUGUCCGCACCCAAAUACACUCCCCAUUCGGAGUCUUCUUGGGGUAACUUUUGGGUCUUUCACCCUAGGGAUCUCUCUCCCUUCUUAAUUCACCUCACACGGGCUUUCACUUUUCAUCACUAUUUCAUUUUUUUCCAUUUCAUACACUUUUCACAAUUUUCAUAAUUUUUUUUUUUCACAUAACCAUGAUGCAAAUGAAUGCCACAAUUCCAAAGUUCCUCAAUAAUUUCAACAAUCUCAAUAUUCCCCAAUAAUCCAAUAAAAUAAUUUUCCACAUUAAAAUUUCCGAAAGUAUCCCAAAUAAAUAUUCAAAAAUUUGCAUAUCAAUAAACUUGAAAUUAUACCACACUUACAGAAUUUUUCAACCAUUAUAAUAAUUUCUAAUAUUCGAAAUUAACAAACUUUCCACCAUAAAAAUUCCGAAAAUAUUCUAACUAAUGCCCAAAAAUUCACAAAUCACUAUUUUUGAAAUUAAACCCUAAUUUCGGAAAUUUUCAACCCUUCUAAUAAUUUUUAAUAUUUGAAAUUAACUAACUUUCCACCAUAAAAAUUCCGAAAAUAUUUUAACCAAUGCCCAAAAAUUCACAAAUCACUAUAUUUGAAAUUAAACCCUAAUUUCGGAAUUUUUCAAUCCUUCUAAUAUUUUUUAACAAUUCAAAACAAUUAAUUAUCAACCAAAAGCAAUUUCCCACAAUUACAAAAAUUCCAAACAAAUUCCAAAUAAUCCAAAAAAAUUCAUACAACACCCAUAUUUCCUACUUAACUCAUAAUCACAAGAUUUACAAUUUUUUUCAAAGGAAAAACACAUUAAAUUUAAGUUUUAGGGUUAGGUUCCCUUACCACAAAUCUAAUAAUUCAACCAUUAAAAACACGAUUAGCCACUGUAGGAUUGUUCCUCUCGUCGAGUAGAGCACCCCCUCAAAAUAUGAGCCGAAAUUGGGGUCGUUUAGCCACCCAAACGACCGAUCAAAGUUCCGGCAAGAUGAAAUUUCCCACAGUGCUGCCGCCUCCUUUUCUCACCCGUUCCACUAAUGUUUCCCUUUCUUUUUACAAAGCCCAUUUCUUUUCCUUGUUUUAAUCCACUUACCACCAGUCCACUCAAACCCAGCCCAAAGUUCAAAAACCCAAUAACUAAUUCCCAUUUUUCUUUUAAAACCCCAUUUCAUCCAAGCCUAAAUUAAUUCCUUUUCAUUUUUGUUUUUUUUUUCUCUUUAUUCUCAUUUGGUUAUUUUCCAUUUCCAAUUUCAUUUCAUUUUUUUUAUAACACACAAAUUAAUAUUUUCUCAAUUUUAUUAAUAAGGAAUUUAAUUUAAUUAAUUAAUAUUUUUUUAUUAAUUCUAAUUAAUUUUAAUUAAUUAACUUUUCAUUUUCGUUUUUGUUUUUUUUUUUUCCGGAAAUUCUCAAUUACUAAAAUCCUAAGAAAUUUCUACCCUAAGGCUGACAUGGCAUAAAAUUUUCAACUCGUCUAAUUGACCAACACAAUAAACUGAAUUUCACCAAUCCAAAACUAACACGUGUUCUUCAGACACUUUUCUUUUUUACUUUUCAACCAUCACUCAAAAUAAGACUUUUCAAAAUAGAAAUGCUAACGUGGCAUAAAAUACCCAAUCAUUACAGAAAGGGUCCAAUUCUACUACUUCAGGGAGACCAUUGCACUCACGAAUGUAAAUUAGGUUCAAAAUUCCCUUUUUUGGCAAUUCGUCAAACAAAUUUGCAUGCGUCAAUCAUUAUUCCAUUUCUUGCAUGCAUUUUCAAAGUCCCGUUCCUUGAAUAUUCAUCCUAGCCGAAUCCAUUAUUGUUGAUAUAGUCAUCAUCUUUUUAUUUUUUAUGGCAAAAUUCCCAUACUACAAUAGUAGUCACCAGCAACGGAAUCUCGAUCAACGCAUAGUAGUAAUUCCUCUUUCCUCCUGCAAAAAGAUGUUCGGACAUCCCCUGCUACAAUAGUAGUCACCAACAACGGAAUCUCGAUCAACGCAUAGUAGUAAUUCCUUCUUCCUCCUGCAAAAAGAUGUCUGAACAUCCCCUGCUACAAUAGUAGUCACCAGCAACGGAAUCUCGAUCAACGCAUAAUAGUAAUUCCUCCUUUCUCCUGCAAAAAGAUGUCCGGACAGGAUGUCCGAACACACCUCCGAUGGUUUUGUUAGCCAUGGCUCAAGAGAUUAAGCUAUCAAGGUUUUUCAGGGAUAGUUAGCUUACCUUCCUCCUUGUGUGAAGGCUCUUUUAUAUAGUGUCAGAAAGUAUGGUCUCGCUGUGCUAGCGGGUCCCAUCGUCAUGAUUGCGGCUUAUAAGGUGGCAAAGCAAUCAUGACAUUUCUGGUGCCAGGUGGCGGUUGCCACUUCAAUUAUGACAUUAAAUAUCGGGGAUGUGUCAGGCACUUUGAUAAGAUUUAGGAAUAUCUUGCCUCUUUAAAUAUCGGGAAUAUGUCAGGCACUCUGAUAAGAUUUGGGAAUAUCCUUUCGAGCUUAUCUUUCAUUGAAGAUGAGUGACAGUUCAGGAGACUUGGUCGUCAAUAUUAUCUGAGUUUGUUUUUUUAUUGUGGGCGGAAAUGGAUCCGGCGAAUCGCGAGUGUCUGACGAGCUAAGUUGUCUGGGGAAUCUGAAAUGGCGGCUGCGGAUGUUCUCCGGGUACGCGCUAUCAGAGUAUCUGGACAUGCCUGACCGGGAAAGUUGAAUUGUCCUCCUCUCCCAUCCGACGGCAGGCGCCAGGUGUGAAAUAUCCGGAGAAGGUGGAACGUCGGCGGAUUCAGAUGUGAGAUAUCCGGAUGAGGUGGAACGUCGGCCGGACAGAAUGGCGAAUGUGAGACAUCCGGAUGAGGUGGGAUGUCGGCCGAACAUAAAUCCGGAUGUGAGACAUCCGGGUGGAAUGAGUGAGAAUUUCCGUCCGGGUGGAAUGAACGAUGCCACGUGUCGCAAGGGGGACGUUCGCGUGUCCUAGGGAGAGGAAGCCACAUGGCGCUUUUUAGGGAGGAUCCCACACUUAUGACACGGAGGUGUGGGGAUGUACGUGUUGGUAUAUGUGAGUGUCUCUUCCCAUAUCUCUGGUGUUUCCGGGCAUAACGAAGAUAAUGACGUUGAACAAAUGAUGAUUCACGUUUUCUUCAUCUUUAAGUUGUACAUCUAGUAUACCAGAACAACCACUAUAAUGUUCAACACAUGCGUUCAACAGGGACACUCAUUUCCCUUCAUACCAUAACAUGCACUCUAAUCCCACCAUCUCAAGGAUGCAGAAACGAAUGAGCCACGUGGAUGGAGACCCCUAGCACACCUAUACUAUUUUUUUCACGUGGGGUGACAAAGGUUGGGUCCAAAGGGUGCACAUCAUGUAGAAACCCUGGUUUGUGGCUGAAUGCAUGGAGAAAGCAGAGAGACUUUAGUGUGGAGAGCAUGGCGCUUGGAAUGAGAAGAAUGUGAUAAGCAUGAAGGAUAGGUAUAAAGGCUAGAGUGGCCACACAUGGCCAUGCAAGUGUGAAGGGGAAAGGUUUAGGAAGAGUAAAGAAUGGUUAUAUAUAGAGAUUGGUGUCAAGUGGAAUUAUGGGUAGUGAUAGAGAUGGGUACGAAGGAAUAAUUCGAUGGGUAUGGAACAAUGGGUUGGAUGAACGCUAGGAUAGACGAGUUUAAUGAAGUAUGAAGGUUAAUGGGAUGGGAAGGAGGUGGGUAGUGAGUGAACUGGCAGAAAACUUCGAGUUCAGUGCCAUUGGGUUGGCAUCCGGACAUAGAAAAUGGGUGUUUGAUCACAGUAUUAGGGGUUGGAUGCACUAUAUUAGAGGACUCUCCUUUGUGAUGCAUGGGUCUUCCUAUUGUAGUGUCGUUUUUUACCCGCUGUUACGUCUAUUGGAGGAAGGAUCAUGACAGGCGUUAACCCCACUGCAUGAUCAGAAUUUAAUGGCAUCUACAACUCAUCAUAUUUCCGAUAGACUCGAUCAGAGUGGGUCCCUGAUGAGGCCACUCCAAUCUAGCCACCGCUUUCAGGAAGGCUACGUGGCGACGGGGUGGAUGCUGAUGUGUGUCUUGUCUUGCUUGCACCUGAACGCUUCUUCUAUUCAUCAUCAAAUUUCCACUGUUUGUAUCAAUGUUAGGAUCACAUGUUACGCCCUUGACACAGCUGCAAACUCAUCAAAUGCUAGAGGGCGAUGAACCACAGAUAGAUGAGAGAAUAAUGGCCUUGUCCUUGCAUGUGCAUGAGUGGCAUGAAUUGUAAGAUUAUGAUUCUUAUGCCAAUGUAUUGACACUAAAUGCUCAAGAAAGCCCAAUAGAGCAAUUUGGACUGAAAUUGAUGCCUUAACCCACAAGCUCUAGUCCAACAAGACACGCUCAACCAUUUCUGCAUUUGCCAACACAAUACAAUUUGAUAUUUCAAUUGGUAUAUCAGUAUUUUCAAGCUCCGAAAUAUGACUAAAUGAAUCUUUAUGCGCAGAAAAAUCAUCCAUAUCCCCAUGAGAUCCAACUGAAAAAAAUUCAUCACAAAACUUAGAGAAAUUAAGAUCCUCAAUGCUAGCUUCUGGAUUAAUCGCAACAGGCAAGGAAAUAUUAUGAGUAUUUUCCAACUUCCUUGGUUUAGAAAAUGAAGCCUUACAUGCAGCAAUCUGGAAAAAGAUUUCAAGAGAGUGCAUGUCAAAUAAUGACAUUCUUAAUUAGGCAAAAUAGCAAUUAACAACUAGUAGUUUAGUUUGUUACAACAACAUUAGUUAUUUUCGUUUUCUUUGUUAAAACUCUGUUAGCCUUUGUUUUUCUAAACCCUGCUAUAUAUAUAGCAGAGGUGUUGUAUUGUAAAUAUAAUAAAAAUCCAUCUUUCUCUUUCUCACUCUCUUCUUCUUCCUAUCUUGGUAUCAGAGCUACAGUGCUCACGCAUCAAUGGCCGCUGUGAAUCAGACUACUGGAGAGGUGUUACAUUCGGAUCCUUCAGCUGAAGCUAGAAGAGGCAAUCCGACGACCACAGACGAAUCUUUGAGAAUGGUAAUAAGCCCUUUGAGUCAGCUUAUUACGAUGCGUCUGGAAGAUGAUAAUUUCUUGAUGUGGAAGUAUCAAAUCGAAAAUGUUGUACAGGGUUAUGGUCUUGAAGGUUUCUUGUUUGGAACAAAGCAAGUUCCACCAAAGAUGGUCACUAAUGAAACAGGGAUUUUGGUUCCAAAUCCCAAGUUCAGAGAUUACCAACGCCAAGAUCAUCUGUUGAUUUCUUGGCUUCUAUCUUCAAUCGGAAGUGCGUUCUUGUCUCAGGUUGUUGGGUGUUCUUCAGCUUUUGAGGUAUGGAAUACAAUUUCCCAGAAUUUCAAUUCCCAAUCUUCUGCAAAGGUUAUGUUCUACAAGAGUCAAAUGCAGAUGUUAAAAAAGGAUGGUCUGACUAUGAGAGAUUAUCUUACCAAAAUGAAGAAUUAUUGUGAUCUUCUUGCUACUGCUGGUCACAAAAUUUCAGACACAGAUCAUAUACUUGCUAUAACGCAAGGUCGAGUCUGUCAUUGCUGUUAUCUCCUCGAAAAAGUCUUCUCCUUCUCUUCAACAUGUCACCUCGACUUUGAUUGUUCAUGAAGGAAGAAUUGCACACAAAAUCUCUUCUAAUGAUCUUUCUAUGAAUUACACCUCUCAGUAUUCUAAUAGAGGUUCUUCUUCCUCUUGGAAUUCUAAUGGCUACCCUUCUAGUGGUUUUCAGAAUAGGAAUCAAUUUGGAGGAAAUCAGGUGACUAGAGGGUCUUUUGUUCAUAACAGAGGAAGAGGUCGUGGCAGAGCUCAAGGAGGAAUCAAGCCUCAGUGUCAACUAUGCAAUAAAUUUGGUCAUACUGUUCAUCGUUGCUUCUAUAGGUAUGAUCCAAAUUUCCAUGGGAAUAUGCCUGCUAAUGGACCUACUCCUGGUGUUUUAGGAAGUGGUGCAAGGAAUGGAGCAUCUGGUUCAAUUUCUAGUGCUGGAAAUGUCAAUCUCACUGAGUAUGAUGCUCAAGAAGAUCAAGAUUACUCAGAAAUGGAAGCAAUGGUUGCCACUCCUGAAGAUCUUCAAAAUUGUUGUUGGUUCCCAGAUUCAAGAGCCACAAACCAUGUUACUCAUGAUCUUGGCAACCUCAAUUCUGGUGCUGAGUAUAAUGGUAACUCAAAAAUCCACAUGGGAAAUGAGACUGGACUUAAAAUUUCACACAUUGGUUUAUCUGUUUUUCCUUCUUCUUCUAGUCCAAAUAAAGUUUUUUUCCUUAAAAAUAUUCUUAGAGUUCCUGCAAUUAAGAAAAAUCUGUUAAGUGUUUUUCAAUUUGCCAGAGAUAAUAAUGUUUAUUUUGAGUUUCAUCCAAAGGUUUGUUUUGUUAAAGACAAAUCUAAUCACUCUUUACUCUUGUAGGGCAAUCUGCAUAGAGGACUCUAUCAGUUCAACCUGUCAAAGAAACUCUUUGGAAAAGCAUCUGGUCUUUCUUUAUCAAAUGGUAAAAAUGAACUUACAUGUUGUAAUGAUUCUCUUGUGCAUAAUGACAAUUCUGAUUUUCCUAAAAAUACCAAUUCUAGUUUUCAUGUUUUUGAUUUGUGGCAUAAAAGGCUUGGUCAUCCGGCCUCAAAAAUUGUAACACAGGUUCUCAAUGUUAAUAAAAUUCCAUUUUCUACCAAAUCUGGUUCUUCAAUUUGUUUAGCUUGUCAGCUCGGGAAAAGUCAUAAUUUGUCUUUUCUAAUUUCUCAAACUGUGUAUACUAAGCCUCUUCAGUUAGUUGUAUCAGAUUUAUGGGGGCCAACUCCAAUUAAUUCUUCUUAUGGGUUCACAUAUUAUGUUUCUUUUGCUGAUGCAUACUCUAGAUACACCUGGGUUUAUUUCUUGAAAACUAAGUCACAAACUAGAGAAGCCUUUUUAAUGUUUAAAGCUCAAGUUGAACUCCAAUUUGGUUGUAAACUCAAAACCUUUCAAACAGAUUGGGGUGGUGAAUUUAGAAGUUUGAAAACCUAUUUUGAACAAAAUGGUAUAAUACAUAGGCUUUCAUGUCCUCAUACUUCAAAACAGAAUGGCAUUAUUGAAAGAAAGCAUAGACAUAUAGUGGAGUUAGGUUUGACUUUUCUUGCUCAAGCUUCUCUUCCACUUAAAUAUUGGCCUGAUGCUUUUUCCACAGCUGUUUUUCUCAUCAAUAGGUUGCCUACUGAGGUCUUAAAGCAAAAGUGUCCCUAUGAGUUUUUGUUUAAUUCUAAACCCAAUUAUUCUCAGCUUAAGGUGUUUGGCUGCCUUUGUUUUCCUCACCUAAGACCUUACAAUAAACAUAAACUAGAUUUUAGGUCCUCACCUUGUACUUUCCUUGGUUACAGUUCUAAACACAAAGGGUAUAAAUGCUUAAAUCAGCAAAGAAGAAUGUUUAUUUCUAAAAGUGUUGUCUUUGAUGAAACUAAGUUUCCUUUUGCAGAUAGACUUCAAAAACCUAUUCAAAUUGUUUCACAUUCAACAGUUGGUCUUCCUUGCAUUCCUUUAGUUAAAAACCUAGAGCCACUAAGUAUCAGUCCUUCACUGACACUUCCCACAUCUUCAGCUCAAUCAAGUCAUCAGCUUGAUGAGAAUCUUGGUUCAGACAUUAGGUCUGUUCAACAGGAUUUAUCAAACACUGAUUAUUCUUCAACUGUGCCAAUUCUAAAUGAGUCAGCUUUCAUACCUUCUUCUUCUAAUCUAUAUGCUCUUCCUGGUACAAUUCCUUUAUCAACAAAUUCAGAUGAACCAAAUGAAUCUAUCAAUACAAGACCAGUCACUUUACCACAACAACCACAUCAUAUGGUUACGAGGUCAAAGAAUGGUAUUUUUAAACCAAAAGUCUAUACUGUUGAUCUUAAUGUUGAAGAACCUAAUACUUUCCAGGAAGCAAUCUCUCAUCCCAAAUGGAAAGAAGCAAUGGAUGAAGAAUUUAGAGCUUUGAUGAAGAACAAGACUUGGUCUUUGGUUUCUCUUCCAACUAACAGAACUUCUGUUGGGUGCAGAUGGGUUUUUAAACUCAAAAGGAAUCCUGAUGGUUCUGUCUCUAGGUACAAAGCUCGUCUAGUAGCAAAGGGCUACUCUCAAGUUCCUGGUUUUGAUUUUUAUGAAACCUUCAGCCUAGUUGUGAAGCCUACUACAAUUAGAGUUGUUCUUGUUAUUGUUGUUUCUCAAAGCUGGUUUAUAAGGCAGUUGGAUGUCAAUAAUGCCUUUUUAAAUGGUGAAUUGCAAGAGGAAGUUUACAUGGACCAACCUCCAGGUUUUGAUGGCAAAACCAAUCAAGAACAAAAGCUAGUUUGCAAACUACAUAAGGCCUUGUAUGGCUUAAAGCAGGCACCUCGGGCUUGGUUUGACAAACUCAAGAUUUCUCUUCAACAGUUUGGUUUUUCUUCCACUAAGUCAGAUCAGUCCCUAUUUGUAAGGUUUACCAACUGUUCUUCUCUCUUUGUUCUUGUUUAUGUUGAUGACAUUGUUGUGACAGAGAGUAGUAGUCAAGAGAUUCACGAGCUUAUCUCAAGGUUAAGGGGUUUGUUUUCCCUUAAAGAUCUUGGUGAGCUUAGCUAUUUUUUGGGAAUUGAGGUAAAGAAAACUACAGAUGGUGGACUUCAUCUUUCUAAAAAAAAAUACAUUCAAGAUUUGCUUAAGAAGACUAAAAUGGAUGGAGCUAAGUCACUUCCCACUCCUAUGCUUUCUGGUCUAAAACUUUCAGCUGGAAUGGGUGAUCCAAUUGAUAAUGUUUUUUAGUACAGAAGUGUUGUUGGAGCUUUGCAAUACAUAACCAUCACUAGACCCGAGAUUGCUUUUAGUGUCAACAAGGUUUGCCAAUUUAUGCAGAAGCCUUUAGAUACUCAUUGGAAGGCUGUCAAACGAAUUUUAAGGUAUCUCAAUGGCACUACAGAUCUUGGUAUUGUGUUGAAGCCAUCAGAAACUAUGAAUUUAGUGGGGUUUUGUGAUGCUGACUGGGGGAGUGAUGUUGAUGAUCAAAGGUCUACAUUUGGGCAUUGUGUUUUUCUUGGGAAAAGCUUGGUUUCAUGGAGUUCAAAAAAGCAGCACACUAUUUCCAGAUCUAGUACUGAAGCAGAAUAUAGAACCUUAGCUAGCUUGACCUCAGAAAUGUUAUGGUUGCAGUCCCUCUUGUCUGAGCUCCAAACUAAGAUGACUAUGGUUCCUAUAAUUUGGUGUGACAAUAUAAGUACUAUUUCCCUUUCAGCUAAUCCAGUCUUGCAUUCGAGGACUAAGCAUAUGGAGUUAGACCUUUAUUUUGCAAGAGAGAAAGUAAUGGAGAGAAAGCUGGUGGUCAAUCAUGUACCAACUGAGGAUCAAGUUGCAGAUGUGUUCACAAAGCCUUUAUCUUUCAGGUUCUUUGACAAGCUGCGUGAAAAGCUUACUGUUACUUCUCUUGAUCUGAAGAAUGGAGAUUAGGCUUGGUGUUGUUGGGAUGUUCUCGGGAUCUCUUUUAUUAGGCUUGGUGUUGCUGGGAUGUUCUCAGGAUCUCCUUUUGAAAGUCUGAUUGCUUCUACUGAGUGGUAAAAAGCUUGAAUGAUUGAAGUUUAUGGUGGCAGGUUCAGUGGCUCCUAGGGGCUUGCUCCUAGAGGCUUCAUUUGAGGGAGCAAAUUAGGCAAAGUAGUAGCAGGUUCAGUGGUUCCUAGAGGCUUCGUUUGAGGGAGCAAAUUAGGCAAAGUUGCAAUUAACAACUAGUAGUUUAGUUUGUUACAACAACAUUAGUUAUUUUCGUUUUCUUUGUUAAAACUUUGUUGGCCUCUGUUUUUCUAAACCCUGCUAUAUAUAUAGCAGAGGUGUUGUAUUGUCAAUAUAAUAAAAAUCCCUCUAUCUCUUUCUCACUCUCUUCUUCUUCCUAUCUUUCUUCUAUGAAGAAAGAGAGAUAGCAGAUGGCAUCCUCUACAUAGAUGUCAACAGGACCAAUACAAGCUCUCAUAACAGCUUAGAUGUCUCCACCGAAUGAAUCUCUAGCGCACUGAUACAUAAAACGAGCUGACCGAAUAUGCAUACAGCCAAACAACUCAUGAACCAUUUUCAGCUAGGUACCUUUUGGUCCAACUAUAUUUGAGAGAAACCCACAUUUUUAUUAUGGCCCGACUCGCUCACCCCAACCUAAGUCAUGACUGAUGGUGGGAUGCUGCCUUCAUGAGCAUUGGAUUUACACUGUCUUAUAACAGGAAGAAAUGGAGUCUUCGAGGUAUCCUUCAAGUAAUCACAAACCACAUGGCUACUCUGUUCCGAAUAAACUACCCAUUCUUCCCAUGCCUCAAAACAAGGGGUAUUCGUAGGUAUUCUGAUAGCUGAAAGCCUCACAGGAGUUGGUAUUUGAGAACAACACUCAGAGUCUUGAUUGAUAGCGGACCAUGUUCAAAGACCCCUCCUAAGGCCCAUUCAGGUGCAGAAAAAUCCCCUGUUUCAUGAAACACACUCCACGAAACCAUCUUCUGAUCCCAAGCUUUAGAAAUUGUGCCCAUAUGAAAACCAAAGGCUCAUGCUGGACCAAAACCCUUCUCCUUGAGGGUAUGAAUGGCCAUCGAGAACAAAGUAUAAACAGCAAGAGAGCAAGCACAAAAACAGAGUAUAAACUAAACCAAAGAAAACACCGACCCGAGCUCCAUUUCAUAUUGGAGUCAAUGGGCUUAUGCAUGGGUGGGAAUAACCAAGGGGAACUAAGAUCUCAAAGAUAUGACUCAAAUAUCCAAAUGAGAGCUAUAAAGGAAUCAGAUUACUCUAAAACAAAUUUUCAAUGAAAAACAAAGCAUGGAUACAUUAUCACAUAGUCACAGCAACCCAAAUGAUAUCAAUGGCAAGCAAAAUGUGGUUUAGCCAACGUAUCUGAGAAUGUUUCCUUUCUUUUCUCUGUUUCAGCUUUCAGUUGCCUUUUCUCUCAAGCAACUAGCCAUCUGAAUCACCUUCUCUCACAGUCUCCCUAAAAAAAUACCUCUGCCUCAGCCACCCUAGAAAAAAAUCCCCCCAAACGGAAUACUCUCUAUCCCUCUUUAGCUUGCUACCCAAGCUCAAACGUCUCUCUCCUCUCUCUGCUUUUUUUUCCAGCUAAGCUCUCAAAAUCUCUGUAAAAACCAUCCUCUCCAAAAAAACCUCCUCCUCCGCAACCUCCAACCCCUCUCGCAUUACCUGAUGACCAAUCUUCAAGCUCCAUGUGGCUUUCCGAAAUCAAGACACUUGGCAAAACAAAAAUGCAUAAAAUGCACCCGGGGUCUACACACACAUUUUAUAUAUAUAUAUAGUUAUUUUACAAUGUAAUCUAUAUAUAUUUUUAAUCUUCUUUAUACGGAUACAAUCUAUAAUCUAAAACUUUGUUUUAUAUCUUCUUUAUAUGGAUAUGUUAAUCAUACGAUUAAAAUAUAAAAUGUACUAUUUCAUGUAUUAUAAAUCGAUUAUUCUCAUCAAUUUUUUUUCAUUUGCUAUAGUAGUUAUUUUGCAAAAAAAAAAAAAAUUAUUACAAAAACUAAAUUUAUAGUUAAAAAAAAGGUAAAAAUGUAUAAAAUAUAUUGUAAAAUAAUAUUAAUAUAUGUAUUGUUUAAUAAUAUAUAUUAAUUUUAUAUUUUUAAUAACAUGAUAUAACAAUUUUUUUAUUUAUAAAAUUUAAAAUAUUUUAAUCAUGAAUAUUAAAAAUAAAUAAAUAAAUGGUUACUUACUAAAUUUUAAAUUAUAUAAUAAUUUUCAAAUAAUACUUAGUAUGAGAGAGAUCUUAUAUUUUUUUUAAUAACAAAAAUUAGAAUGUAACGUAAUUUUUCUUUUAAACAAAUAUUGAAGCUUGACUUGAAAACUGGAAAAAAUUGGUUACUAUUGGAAAGAAAACAAGAUUGGUCGUAUAUCAUGGAGACUUUUUUUUUAUAAAUUCAGAAAUAAGUAAAGGUGGGUUUUGAACUGCAUUAGCAUUGAAUUUCUCCUUAGAGAAGCCUUUCAUAUACAACAACAACUUGGUCAUAUAAGAGAUCUUGUUCAUUCACUACCUGAGACUAAGAUUGAGUUUCCUUCGCUUUCGACUUCUUAUUUGUUUGUAGAUGACUAGGAAUUGACAUGACCUGAACAAACGAUAUUUCAACAAAAUAUAAUUUGUUUUUUAUUUUAUACUAAAUUUAAAUAUAAUAUAAACUAUCACACUCAAUAUAACAUUAAAAAAAUCAUUCAAUGGCAUAUAAUAUUAUAGGAUAUUCCUAUCUCAUUCAAUAUGUAACACUCAAUUACAUUUAAAAAUCCUAUGAUGUGUAUGUGUAUAUAUAUAUUUAUAAAAAUUUUAAAAUUUAAGGUAUUAAAAAAUGUUAAUAUUAAAUUUUUGUUAAAUUUUUAGCCGUUAUUGCAUCUUAUAUAAAAAUUAUUAUUAUUUCUUUAUUAUAAAAAUUGAAAAUUGAAAAUAUAUCUAAACUACAUCAUAAUUACUUGGACAAUAUUGACUUGGUGUGACUUUUAUUUAAUGUAGUAUUUUAUUAAUUUUGUCUUCUAUCAUUAACAAAUGAAAUGAUGCUUCAUAGCUAUCUGUGGACCCCGCAUUUCGGCUCAAUGCGUUUCCCACUCGAUGGUGAAACUCGAUUUUGAUUUGAAAAAUGAUUUUUAUUUAUUAAAAAGAAAUGACUUGGAGUCGCCACUUAUUUUUUGUUUUAUUUUUAAAGGGUAAACAAAAUAAGAAAGAAAAACCCUAAGUAUGACUCCUUGUUUUGGAAAAGGUGGUCUGUGAAAACCGGAUCGGGUUCGGGGGUCAGGUUACUCAUCGGGAAGGUACGGUAAAGACCGUAGCACCCCUCUAAGUCCCUAAAGUCGGGUCUCUACUAAUACAGUGAAACUGACGUGGCAAUCAAUGAGAAAAUCAAUGAAUACUCGAAGCGAUCAUGCACAUAUGGGAAUCAAAACAUGUAUAAGGAAUGAACAAAAUAUGAGUGGAUACGUACCUGGUCCUCCAGUCACGAAUCCGCUAGCAUGAAACAGGAUUAGUGAAUCACGAAUAGAUAAAAUUAUGCGCAUGUCAAGGAUCAGAAUAAAUCAAACAAAAUAAAUAAAUCAAUCAAUCAGUCAGUCAUAAGGAAAUCACAUAUGUUGGGCCCCACCAAAGCCCGAUUUAUAUUGCAUGAAUUAAUCUCACGAAUCCCAUUAUUUCGGAAUUAUGAAGAUUCAUCAUUCUUGGUUGGGUAAAAAUUAAAAGAAAUAGAACAUUAUUUAAAAAUUGGAGUGGAAUUAAAACUGUUCGAGAGAAAAUUGGAUUUUUGAGAUUUAUUUGGAAAUUGAAGUCUCGAAAAUUAUUUGAAGACUAGAGUCUUGAGAAUUAAAUUUAAGAAUUGGAAUUUUGGAUAUUAAAUUUGAAAGAAAUUAGAAUUUUGGAAAUCGGAAAUUAAGUUUAGAAAUUGGAAUUUUGAAGAAUUGUUUAAAAUGGAAUUUCAAAAUAAAUAACUAAAAUGAAAGAAAUUAGAAUUUUGGAAAUCGGAAAUUAAGUUCAGAAAUUGGAAUUUUGAAGAAUUGUUUAAAAUGGAAUUUCAAAAUAAAUAACUAAAAUAAUAAUAAUUAAAUGGAUUAAUGUGAAUAUCGGAAUUUUCGGAAUUAGAAAUUAAAAUCGGAAGUAAGAAAUUUUAAAAAAUUGUUUAAAGUGAAAUCUUAAAAUGAAUAAAUAAAAUAUUAAUGAUUAAAUAAAUUAAUGUGAACGUGAAAAUUUUUGGGAUUAUGAAUUUAAUUCGGAAAUCGGAAGUUUUAAAGAAUUGAUUUAAAAUGAAGUUUUAAAAUAAAUAAAUAAAAUACCAAUAAUUAAAUAAAUUAAUGCGAUUAUGAGAAUUUUAGGGAUUAGGAAUUUAAAUUUAAGGGUAAAAAAGAAGAAGAAAUAAUAAUAAUAAUAAUAGAAGAUUAAACUUUUAGCACCAAAAAUGAAGAAAUUGCGUGAAAUAACUUAAUAAAUAAGUAGAUGAAUGGGUAUAAAGGUAAAAUGGGAGUGGUUGUUGGAGUGGCGGACCCAAGAAUGCCCAUGCAUGGAUUCUUGUGCAGUGGGGCUGGUUGUUCAAAUGAUUACAAGAUGGCUUGGUGGGGCUCCAUUCACCCUUUAAACAUAUAUAACCUCAAAUAUCAACCCACACUAGUUUACUCCUAUCUAAAAAAAAGAACUCUCAUCAAGUGGGCUUCCACCAACACGGCAUCCUUCAAGGAGUCCCAUGAGCACAAGUUGACAGGCCCAGAUUGCAAGAUGCUCCGGGCGCGAACGAGGUUGGGUUUGCCAUAUGCUUCGGGGGAUGCUUUCCACAGCCCGGUGCAUGGUGAUGUAGAAAGAGAAUGAUGAUAAUAGAAAUGGGUAUGAAAGGUGUAUUGGGUAUGGGUGUGAAAGAGAUGACCAGAUUUGCAUGUUCUCACGAGCAUGAGUGGAUGAAUCUAAGGAGUUUUGGACAGCCGUACAUGGGCGGAAACAUGUAAUGGAUUGGUGGAAUGAGUAGAGAGGUUUAAUGAGAAAAUGGGUAUGGGAAAAGGUGAUCUAGCUUGCAUGGAAUUGGUGAUGUGGCGAGGUGAAGCAUUAAGAUGGCAUGGGAAGGCAGUAAGAUGUAAGGAGAAAUGGAUUUAAUGUAGACACCCAUGGCCGUGAAUCAAUGGAAGGAAUGAUUUUGAAAUACACUCAGAAAAUGGGUAUGGGGCUUGAAAAAAAAGAGAGAGAAAAGGUGGUAAAAAAAAAUGAGGAUUAGGAACGUGGGUAUGGAGUUUUGGGUGAUGAGAUGAUGUAGUUAUGGAGUGUGGGUAUGGGGAGUGAGCAUGGCGCAGCCACGCACAGCCAUGCAUUCUUCACACGUCUAACCCUGUCCAGGAACUUUCUCUAGCUUUAUGCGCAUGCAAUAAAUGUACUCUGCCCCCCUCAUUGCACUGGGUGUAAGUAGAAAGCAGUUCCUCCAGACCAGCAUCCCCACAUAUAUCACAAACUUUUACUUCAUAUUCCAAAACAUCUGAUUUAACAUUAUCAUCAACAAGCUGAGAUUGCAAAGGACGUUUCUGUGAGUUUGAAUGUCUCAAGUAAUGCACAAUACUCUUCAGAAUGUUCCUUUUUAUCUGACUUUUGACCACCGAAACUAGAGGCUGCCACUGCCACUCUCGCCGAUGAUGAUUCAACUUGUUUUCCAAAGCAUUCAGAAGAUUCUCCCUUCGGUGAUGUUGGAUUUGGACCAGCAUAAACACCUUUUAAGUAAGAAAAUUCUGACGGGUCCAAUUUGUUUGAUAAGCCAGCAGUUUUCCUCAUGGAUUCUUUAAUAAAUUCCUCUCCAAACUUUCGGAGUCCCUCAAAACACCCAACCCGGACAGCCAAACUUAAACAAAAAUAUUUGUACUAAAAGAAAUAGAAAAAACAGAGGAUAAAGAGUGAAGAAGGAAAACAGAGCAAGAAUGACAAGAGGAAAGAAGUAUUUAGCCAAAACCAUGUAUCAUGAGUGAUAAACGGGCUUCGAACUGGUGGGACAAAGAGGAAGGCUUCAAUAUAACUAUCAUUCAUCAAAUCUAAACCCAAAGAAGAAACUCACCAUUUACAGAGGGGAAAACAAGAUUAUUAGAAGGGAAUAAACAGAGCAUAUAUAAGCAAAAAAUCACAUUCAACCAAAGCAAACCUGUGGCCCUUGAACGUCCACAGCAAAUCACAAAUAGAUAUUCGUUAGAUUAACAUAGAAUGAAGUGGGAUUUUCAGAAAUGAAAACGCACCAGAUUCAAAGUGAUGCUUCUCACGCCUCCACAGCACAAACUCCUCCCCUUCAACGACUGCCUCCAGAAAGAAAAAAAAAACCCCCCGAACCCCCUUUCAACCUCUUUCCUUGCUUUUUCAACCUCCUCACCUUGUCUUCCUCAGCAAGCCAUCCUCGGCUCCACUGCUACACAUCCCAUCUGCCGCCCAAAAGCUCUGCCUCCCCUGCAGCUUCAGAGCCCCCAAACACAGCUCUCCCAUCAUGUCGAGCCCCGGGAAAUAAAAAUUAAAAUUAAAAAAAAAGUCUCUGCUUCCGGGGGGUCUACACUAUCACUAAAUGCAAGUACACCACACCAUAUGCAUUUGAUGUGUAUGUUUUCAUUAAAUAUUAGGUACAAUGCUCAAGUUUAGAUGUAUAGGUACAAUUUUGGAUUUUUGUCCCUUGUCCACUUGACCAUCACUUUCUCACACUUUCUGGUCUUUAAGCUAGCUCAAAGAUAAGAUUUUUUUUAUUUUUUUUGCAAUUUUGCUAAUAACACCAUGUGGUGAUACCUUUGGUUAUUUUUUUUUGCUUUUUUUUUAAAUGACGUUGACAACGGGAUUAUUAAUUAUUAUUAAUUUGAAAUUUUAUCAAAUACCUAUCUGGUCUUAUUUAUUAUUUUUUCUGUUCUAUUUUGUUUAAAAUAAGGUAAAUAUUUGACAAAAUCUUAAAUUCCUUGAGAUUAAGUGGAUUUAGCUCACAUUUUUUAAAAAUGAGUCAAAUUUACUUUUUUGUGUCUUAUCGCUUCUCUUUUCAAAAAUCUUAUAUGUUACAAAUUUUUGUUUGUAUUCCUCGUAUUACCAAUUUUAAUUAUCUAUUUUAGUGCCAUUUCUUUGUGUAUUUGAUGUGGUUUUCUUAUUAUGUUUGUGACUAUUAAUGACUUUUUCAGGUUAUGUUUGGUUUUUGGAAAAAUUGAAGAAAAAAAAUGAAGAAGAGAAAACAAGGAGAAGAAUAAAGAAUGAAGUUAAAGUUAUACAAGUUAAAUAAUCUAAAAAUAUCUAAGUUUCUAAGUAAUUUUAAUUAUAUUUGAUUUUUUUUUUUUUUUUGUGUUUUCUAUAGUAAAAUCAAGUAUGAAAAAAAAAAUUAGCAUUUUUUUUCUACUCUUGGUACCUUCUCACAAACCAAACAUAGCCUCAAAGGAUUACUUUGGUAGGAAAAUUUACAUUUAAAUGCUUUUAAGAAGCAUUCAUGUUUGGCGGCCCACCUUUGGGCAAUUUGACCAAAAGGUUCAAAAUAAAAAAUAAGGUCUUCUUUGAUAACUAUUUUUAAGAUUUCUUGUGAAGGAUUGUUCACCUUUUGAAGAGAAACAAAGAACAUUAUUUGUGCUUUUGUAAUUGAGAGCUUGAUAUAUGUUUAGAUAUGUAUAAAACUCAAUAUUGCACAUGCAAUAAGAAUAUUAGGCAAAUAUCGAAGUAAUUUAAGCUUGGAAUAAUAGAGAGUCGCGAAGAAAGGCAUGCAAUACUUCCAAUGUACAAAGGAUUAUAACCUUAAUAUAGACUAUUUGAAUGAUCUAAUCAUUUGGAAGUGGUUAGAUAUUCAUAUUUUGACUUUACUUACUACUCCAUUCUGAAAGAUCGACAUUAGGAUAUGUCAUCUUAUUAAGGGGUUAUUUAUUGGAAAAGUGAAACGCAAGUAAUACUUAUUUCUUUGACCAUAAGAAAUUGCGAAACAACCAUAUAAGCUAUUUGGCUAAAGAAUUUUAUUUUAGAGUUGAAGUUGUUGACUCAAUUUCCAUGUGUUUGGGAAUUCACUAUGACAACUACACUAAUGUUUUUGGCUAAGAACAACAAGAACGAAAGAUGUAAUAAAUACAUCGAUAUAAAAUACUUAGUUAUUAAAUAAUAUAUAAAAUCAAACAAGAUAACUAUUAAGCGCAUCCGUAUUGUAUUAUAUUGAUGAUUGUGGAUCCCUUAUCAAAAGGUUUGCUAUCAAAAACAUAUGAGGAACAUGGUGAGUAUACAAGACCAAGUCACAUUUUGUAGAUAUUAUGUAACUAAUAUGCUCUUUGUGUUUGUAUCGUAUUUUGGUCUAUAUAUGCUUAUAUUGCAUUUUAAUUGAUAUGAAAAGCUUCAAUAACUUCGAUUGUAUAUCUAAAGUUUAAAGAAUAACAAUAUGCAUUUUUUAAUAUUAAGUAGUCUUAAAUGAGCAUUUGAAAAUUCAUUCUUAAAAAUAUGAAAAAAAAAAAAAAAAAUCGUUUUGUUACCAAAUGGGCUAGCACGGUCUGUUCAACGAAAUCUCCCUGUUGGGCCUGAUCCCGCCCCAUUGGGCUGGUAGUUAAAGGACGUUUCACUCCGUCUGCAUACAAAAGGAACGAAUCAGAUGCCCAUAGAACCCAAAAAAAAAAAAAAAGAUGAGUCUGACAAAUAUUGGGCUACAGUAAGGCCCUUCAAUAGAA